Ostrinia furnacalis (Asian corn borer) is the source of this 367-nucleotide long non-coding RNA. RefSeq lists it as uncharacterized. The record is from RefSeq and is a predicted model, not a curated record. The transcript has 2 exons. Lineage: Eukaryota; Metazoa; Arthropoda; Insecta; Lepidoptera; Crambidae.
CAAAAUCGUUAUGUCAAACCACGUAUUACGGAACGUGCAAGUCAUGGCGUGUACUUGUGUGAAAAAUGUUUGUUUGUUUUGAUUUAAAAAUUUGAAGAAAAAAUACCUUCUACGAAUUGUUUUGAUGCAAAGAACCGUUUAAAAUUCAUAACAAGUAAAAAGGUGCUUAUCUAUUAACUGAGAUGGGUCUUAAGAAGAAAAAGAAUGUUAUCGUGCUCGCGGCAUGCGUUUUUAUAAGUUUUAUCUUGUACCAGUUGUACUUCUUUUUGACGAUCACAUCUGAAACCGCUGCCGGCUUUAAAAUAGUAACCGUGAUAGAUCAUUCCAAAUUGGAUCCAAAAGAACAUAUUCGUUCAGAAGCAGAUAA